RNAcentral lists this ribosomal RNA (240 nucleotides) under Triticum aestivum (bread wheat). RNAcentral's name for it is "partial small subunit ribosomal RNA". The record is from RNAcentral. Lineage: Eukaryota; Viridiplantae; Streptophyta; Magnoliopsida; Poales; Poaceae.
AUGGAGGCUUGGAGGAGGAAUGCCCUGCGCUGCGCGCUUCUCGUGCUGCUCCUCGCCGUUUCAAGCGGGGUGGCGAGGGCUCAGAUGGGCGAGUGCUGGAGCACGGACAUGGGGUACGGCAUCUGCGUGAAGCCCGCGGGGUGUAGAGCUGCCUGCCAUGCACUCGGCAAGAACGACGGCCAGUGCAACGGGGGCUACUUCUGGCCGGUCUGCGAGUGCCUGUCUCCACACUGCCACUAG